This 236-nucleotide long non-coding RNA is filed under the name Mytilus galloprovincialis (Mediterranean mussel). Lineage: Eukaryota; Metazoa; Mollusca; Bivalvia; Mytilida; Mytilidae. The record is from RNAcentral.
CUGGAAACGUAGCAUUGAGGUGUAUUUUCCGGAAUUUGCCGAGUAUCACCGGAAUGCCAUGCGAUAACGUUACGGAAAGGCAUGUGAUAACAGUCGAAGCAUGUGAUAAACUUUUCCUAUCAGCCCGCUAAGCACCAAUUGGAAAAAUAUGGAAUUUACGUUAAUUUAAUGCUAUUAUCAUACAGUAAAAAUCAUAUGUUAUUUAGUCUAAGUAUAUGAUAAAUAAACAUAUCAAC